UCCAGUCCAUUAAAUUACCAAUUCAUUACUUGCCUCUUGCUGUGCCUUUAUCAACAAGGCUCUUUUUCACAACAUUGCAGGACCUCCAUUCCUCAGGGCAUACAAAACUUGGUACGAGUACGUGGUCGUCAAACGGUCUUCAUUCCAUAGACAUUACAUCAGUUCUAUGAAAAUAACGACCCAAUUCAAUACCAGAGUCUCGCAUCAUUUCAUUCUUUCACUCACCAACAUCAACGGGCAUGCUUCAGCUCAGUUUCCCUUUCCUACAACGGCUUCUGGCUGAAUGCUAUGCCCCACAAAAUUAACUGGUAUCCUACUGGUUAACUACUAUCCGAAUCGUUGGUCCAUUCUGGUAAGAAAUUCAAAUCUGGGAACGACUCACCGUUGUUGUGGACAUACCGUACAUGUUUUCAUAGUUUGCUCAUUGUUAUUUUUCCUGAACGCUGCUCGCUUCUCUAAUUUUAAUUGGAUGGAUCCAGUAUCCCAUCCCAAGUGCCAUAGCAGUUAGACAAGAGAACGGCAAAAGCAAAACGGCAUCAGUCUUCCGGUUCCAAAGUGGCAAGUCUCUAAUAUCGGUUGCGACUUGAAGCGACAUUUCCACAUUAGAGAAACCAACAUCAUACGCAGGAACCGUCACCUGACAAAUGGGGAGGAGGAGGACACUGCACUGUUCUAUGGCGAUGGAAGAGUGAUGAUAAAUGCAGACCUAACCAGUUGAACGCACACAGUUACAAAGCAGCAGGAGUGAAUAGUCAUCCGAGGCGUCAUGAACGGAAAGUCAGAAAUUCCAUUGUCAAUGAGGAAGCACAAGGGGAAAAUGAAGCAUUCACCAAGUAUAUAUUGUAUAUAAGAGAAUAUAUAUUAUGUGAUAUAAAAAAAAAUCAAUGACUAUUAUAAAAUAAAAUGUCUAGAAAAAUCUGA
Octopus bimaculoides (California two-spot octopus) is the source of this 921-nucleotide long non-coding RNA. RefSeq lists it as uncharacterized. The record is from RefSeq and is a predicted model, not a curated record. Lineage: Eukaryota; Metazoa; Mollusca; Cephalopoda; Octopoda; Octopodidae.